GAUGAACGCUGGCGGCGUGCUUAAUACAUGCAAGUCGAACGAGAACCUGGAGCUUGCUCCAGGGGGCAGUGGCGAAUGGGUGCGUAACACGUAGGUGACCUGCCCUCAAGCGGGGGAUAACGGGCCGAAAGGACCGCUAAUACCGUAUGUGGUCGCUCGGUCGGACGAGCGACUAAACUUCCGGGGCUUGAGGAGGGGCCUGCGGCCCAUCAGCUAGUUGGUAGGGUAACGGCCUACCAAGGCGACGACGGGUAGGGGGCCUGAGAGGGUGGUCCCCCACACUGGCACUGACACACGGGCCAGACUCCUACGGGAGGCAGCAGUAAGGAAUAUUGGGCAAUGGGCGAAAGCCUGACCCAGCAACGCCGCGUGAGCGAUGAAGGCCUUCGGGUCGUAAAGCUCUUUUCCCAGGGAAGAGGAAGGACGGUACCUGGGGAAUAAGUCACGGCUAACUACGUGCCAGCAGCCGCGGUAAAACGUAGGUGGCGAGCGUUAUCCGGAUUCACUGGGCGUAAAGCGCACGCAGGCGGCUCGGUAGGUAGGGCAUGAAAUCUCCCGGCUUAACUGGGAGAGGUUGUCCUAUACCGCCGGGCUUGAGGAUGGGAGAGGGAAGUGGAACUGCCGGUGUAGUGGUGAAAUGCGUAGAGAUCGGCAAGAACACCAGUGGCGAAGGCGGCUUCCUGGCCCAUUCCUGACGCUCAGGUGCGAAAGCUAGGGGAGUGAACGGGAUUAGAAACCCCGGUAAUCCUAGCCGUAAACGAUGUGCACUAGGUGUCGGGGGUAUUGACCCCCUCGGUGCCGAAGCUAACGCGUUAAGUGCACCGCCUGGGGACUACGGCCGCAAGGUUA
RNAcentral lists this ribosomal RNA (849 nucleotides) under uncultured bacterium. RNAcentral's name for it is "bacterial SSU rRNA". It matches the Rfam family "Bacterial small subunit ribosomal RNA", at positions 28 to 896 of the family's 1533-position model. The record is from RNAcentral.